CGGAGGGUGCGAGCGUUGUUCGGAACUUAUUGGGCGUAAAGCGCGUGUAGGCGGCUCCUUAAGUCUGAAUGUGAAAGCCCCGGGCUCAACCUGGGAAGUGCAUUGGAAACUGGGGAACUUGAAUACGGGAGACGGGUAGUGGAAUUCCUGGUGUAGGAGUGAAAUCCGUAGAUAUCAGGAGGAACACCGGUGGCGAAGGCGGCUACCUGGACCGAUAUUGACGCUGAGACGCGAAAGCGUGGGGAGCAAACCAGGAUUAGAUACCCUGGUAGUCCACGCCGUAAACGAUGAGUACUAGGUGUUGCGGGUAUUGACCCCUGCAGUGCCGCAGCUAACGCAUUAAGUGCUCCGCCUGGGAAGUACGGUCGCAACGACUA
RNAcentral lists this ribosomal RNA (377 nucleotides) under uncultured organism. RNAcentral describes it as "bacterial SSU rRNA". It matches the Rfam family "Bacterial small subunit ribosomal RNA", at positions 526 to 896 of the family's 1533-position model. The record is from RNAcentral.